Molecule: ribosomal RNA, 1530 nt
Filed under: Salmonella enterica subsp. enterica serovar Sendai
Lineage: Bacteria; Pseudomonadati; Pseudomonadota; Gammaproteobacteria; Enterobacterales; Enterobacteriaceae
Description: bacterial SSU rRNA
Rfam family: Bacterial small subunit ribosomal RNA
Source: RNAcentral
AGAGUUUGAUCAUGGCUCAGAUUGAACGCUGGCGGCAGGCCUAACACAUGCAAGUCGAACGGUAACAGGAAGCAGCUUGCUGCUUUGCUGACGAGUGGCGGACGGGUGAGUAAUGUCUGGGAAACUGCCUGAUGGAGGGGGAUAACUACUGGAAACGGUGGCUAAUACCGCAUAACGUCGCAAGACCAAAGAGGGGGACCUUCGGGCCUCUUGCCAUCAGAUGUGCCCAGAUGGGAUUAGCUUGUUGGUGAGGUAACGGCUCACCAAGGCGACGAUCCCUAGCUGGUCUGAGAGGAUGACCAGCCACACUGGAACUGAGACACGGUCCAGACUCCUACGGGAGGCAGCAGUGGGGAAUAUUGCACAAUGGGCGCAAGCCUGAUGCAGCCAUGCCGCGUGUAUGAAGAAGGCCUUCGGGUUGUAAAGUACUUUCAGCGGGGAGGAAGGUGUUGUGGUUAAUAACCGCAGCAAUUGACGUUACCUGCAGAAGAAGCACCGGCUAACUCCGUGCCAGCAGCCGCGGUAAUACGGAGGGUGCAAGCGUUAAUCGGAAUUACUGGGCGUAAAGCGCACGCAGGCGGUCUGUCAAGUCGGAUGUGAAAUCCCCGGGCUCAACCUGGGAACUGCAUUCGAAACUGGCAGGCUUGAGUCUUGUAGAGGGGGGUAGAAUUCCAGGUGUAGCGGUGAAAUGCGUAGAGAUCUGGAGGAAUACCGGUGGCGAAGGCGGCCCCCUGGACAAAGACUGACGCUCAGGUGCGAAAGCGUGGGGAGCAAACAGGAUUAGAUACCCUGGUAGUCCACGCCGUAAACGAUGUCUACUUGGAGGUUGUGCCCUUGAGGCGUGGCUUCCGGAGCUAACGCGUUAAGUAGACCGCCUGGGGAGUACGGCCGCAAGGUUAAAACUCAAAUGAAUUGACGGGGGCCCGCACAAGCGGUGGAGCAUGUGGUUUAAUUCGAUGCAACGCGAAGAACCUUACCUGGUCUUGACAUCCACGGAAGUUUUCAGAGAUGAGAAUGUGCCUUCGGGAACCGUGAGACAGGUGCUGCAUGGCUGUCGUCAGCUCGUGUUGUGAAAUGUUGGGUUAAGUCCCGCAACGAGCGCAACCCUUAUCCUUUGUUGCCAGCGGUCCGGCCGGGAACUCAAAGGAGACUGCCAGUGAUAAACUGGAGGAAGGUGGGGAUGACGUCAAGUCAUCAUGGCCCUUACGACCAGGGCUACACACGUGCUACAAUGGCGCAUACAAAGAGAAGCGACCUCGCGAGAGCAAGCGGACCUCAUAAAGUGCGUCGUAGUCCGGAUUGGAGUCUGCAACUCGACUCCAUGAAGUCGGAAUCGCUAGUAAUCGUGGAUCAGAAUGCCACGGUGAAUACGUUCCCGGGCCUUGUACACACCGCCCGUCACACCAUGGGAGUGGGUUGCAAAAGAAGUAGGUAGCUUAACCUUCGGGAGGGCGCUUACCACUUUGUGAUUCAUGACUGGGGUGAAGUCGUAACAAGGUAACCGUAGGGGAACCUGCGGUUGGAUCACCU